RNAcentral lists this long non-coding RNA (474 nucleotides) under Zonotrichia albicollis (white-throated sparrow). RNAcentral's name for it is "lncRNA (ENSZALG00000008404.1)". The record is from RNAcentral. Lineage: Eukaryota; Metazoa; Chordata; Aves; Passeriformes; Passerellidae.
AUGAGCUUGUGCAACUGAAAAAUUUAACCCUGUCAUUUCUCUGCCCACCCCUCCGUUUUUGUAACUUCUUGUUUUGAUCCAGUCAGCCAACUCUGUGCAUUUUCUGGAAUUCAGAUGGGCCAUCUGCUACCCACACAUUCAAGAAGAAAGCCACACAAAAAAGGCAGCAAGGAUGAUGUUUUCCCAUGCAAGCUGAAGUGACUCUCACUUUUGAGGUAAGGAAACCUGAAGAACGUUUAAGUUGGUAAGAACUGACCUUCUGCAGGAGGACACAAGGCAGAGUGUCUAAGUUACAUUUCUAAGUGAUAUGGAAUCAUUUGCACUGCAUAGAAAAAGCCAAAACCAUAAGUACAGCACCUGAUAAUAGCAGUUAUGAGCCUUUCCAAAAGAUUUCAUUCUUUGUCUUAUUUAGUUGUAAUUUGUUUGCUUGAAGACCUCUUUUGAAGUUAUCUAUGGAAGUGGCAUGAGGUGCAG